RNAcentral lists this ribosomal RNA (293 nucleotides) under uncultured bacterium. Its description in RNAcentral is "partial 16S ribosomal RNA". It matches the Rfam family "Bacterial small subunit ribosomal RNA", at positions 775 to 1067 of the family's 1533-position model. The record is from RNAcentral.
GGAUUAGAUACCCUGGUAGUCCACGCCGUAAACGAUGUCUACUAGUUGUUGGGAGACUUGAUCUCUUAGUGGUGCAGCUAACGCACUAAGUAGACCGCCUGGGGAGUACGGUCGCAAGAUUAAAACUCAAAUGAAUUGACGGGGGCCUGCACAAGCGGUGGAGCAUGUGGUUUAAUUCGAAGCAACGCGAAGAACCUUACCUACUCUUGACAUCCAGAGAACUUUCCAGAGAUGGAUUGGUGCCUUCGGGAACUCUGAGACAGGUGCUGCAUGGCUGUCGUCAGCUCGUGUUG